ACGCAUCUCUGGCGGCGAGGGCGCGCCCCGCUCCGGACCGAAAGGCCGUGCAGCGGGCUAGCCCGGACCGCUCAACCUUUGCAAACCCCACUGUGCACUCUUGUCGGCGGAGGGCUUUGCGGCCCCGAGCCGGAUCACAAACCCCAAGUUUUUGAAUGCAAAGCGGACUCUGUGCCGCCUAAACUUAAA
Molecule: unclassified non-coding RNA, 189 nt
Filed under: uncultured Trechisporales
Lineage: Eukaryota; Fungi; Basidiomycota; Agaricomycetes; Trechisporales
Description: sequence contains ITS1
Source: RNAcentral